Molecule: unclassified non-coding RNA, 261 nt
Filed under: Glomus sp.
Lineage: Eukaryota; Fungi; Glomeromycota; Glomeromycetes; Glomerales; Glomeraceae
Description: partial contains 5.8S ribosomal RNA and internal transcribed spacer 2
Rfam family: 5.8S ribosomal RNA (bases 1-71)
Source: RNAcentral
GUGAAUCAUCAAAUUUUUGAACGCAAAUUGCACUUUCUGGUAUUCCGGUGAGUAUGUCUGUUUGAGGGUCUGUUAAAUUAACAUCGGUGUUGUUGCUAGCCGUCGUGGGGUGUGAUGCAUCGGAAUUGAGUCGUUCUUUACUUUUGGUUUACGUGACUUAAAAUUAUGUUCGAUUUUUGAACGUAUUUAAAUUAUUACUUACGUUCGUUAUAUCACCUAUUAGUAUUGGUCAUUACCAUGAUUUCGCGUCUAUAAUUUUUC